RNAcentral lists this ribosomal RNA (442 nucleotides) under uncultured bacterium. RNAcentral's name for it is "bacterial SSU rRNA". It matches the Rfam family "Bacterial small subunit ribosomal RNA", at positions 954 to 1393 of the family's 1533-position model. The record is from RNAcentral.
GCAUAACGCGAAGAACCUUACCAGCCCUUGACAUCCCGGUCGCGGUUACGAGAGAUCGUUUCCUUCGGUUCGGCUGGACCGGUGACAGGUGCUGCAUGGCUGUCGUCAGCUCGUGUCGUGAGAUGUUGGGUUAAGUCCCGCAACGAGCGCAACCCUCGCCCUUAGUUGCCAUCAUUCAGUUGGGCACUCUAAGGGGACUGCCGGUGAUAAGCCGAGAGGAAGGUGGGGAUGACGUCAAGUCCUCAUGGCCCUUACGGGCUGGGCUACACACGUGCUACAAUGGUGGUGACAGUGGGCAGCGAGACCGCGAGGUCGAGCUAAUCUCCAAAAGCCAUCUCAGUUCGGAUUGCACUCUGCAACUCGAGUGCAUGAAGUUGGAAUCGCUAGUAAUCGCGAAUCAGAAUGUCGCGGUGAAUACGUUCCCGGGUCUUGUACACACCGA